UAAUACGUAGGGGGCAAGCGUUGUCCGGAAUCAUUGGGCGUAAAGAGCGUGUAGGCGGCCAUCUAAGUCUGCUGUGAAAGUCCAGGGCUCAACCCUGGGAUGCCGGUGGAUACUGGAUGGCUCGAGUCCGGAAGAGGAGUGUGGAAUUCCUGGUGUAGCGGUGAAAUGCGCAGAUAUCAGGAGGAACACCGAUGGCGAAGGCAGCACUCUGGGACGUGACUGACGCUGAGACGCGAAAGCGUGGGGAGCAAACAGGAUUAGAUACCCUGGUAGUCCACGCCGUAAACGAUGGGCACUAGGUGUGGGAGGUGUCGACUCCUCCCGUGCCGAAGCUAACGCAUUAAGUGCCCCGCCUGGGGAGUACGGCCGCAAGGCUA
Molecule: ribosomal RNA, 377 nt
Filed under: uncultured bacterium
Lineage: Bacteria
Description: bacterial SSU rRNA
Rfam family: Bacterial small subunit ribosomal RNA
Source: RNAcentral